RNAcentral lists this non-coding RNA (29 nucleotides) under Homo sapiens (human). Lineage: Eukaryota; Metazoa; Chordata; Mammalia; Primates; Hominidae. The record is from RNAcentral.
UAAAGGUGACGGGGGAGGAAACCCAGAGA